RNAcentral lists this ribosomal RNA (477 nucleotides) under Candidatus Scalindua brodae. Its description in RNAcentral is "bacterial SSU rRNA". It matches the Rfam family "Bacterial small subunit ribosomal RNA", at positions 365 to 832 of the family's 1533-position model. The record is from RNAcentral. RNAcentral also lists the same sequence under 1 other name. Lineage: Bacteria; Pseudomonadati; Planctomycetota; Candidatus Brocadiia; Candidatus Brocadiales; Candidatus Scalinduaceae.
UUCGCAAUGCCCGAAAGGGUGACGAAGCGACGCCGCGUGGGUGAGGAAGGCCUUCGGGUUGUAAAGCCCUGUCAGGAGUUAAGAAAUGUAAGUGCGCUAAUAUCGCAUUUACUUGACGAAGGCUCCAAAGGAAGCCACGGCUAACUCUGUGCCAGCAGCCGCGGUAAUACAGAGGUGGCAAGCGUUGUUCGGAAUUAUUGGGCGUAAAGAGCACGUAGGUGGGUCUGUAAGUCAGAUGUGAAAGCCUCCUGUUCAAAGGAAGAACGGCAUCUGAAACUACAGAUCUUGAGUGUAGGAGGGGAGAGUGGAACUUCUGGUGGAGCGGUGAAAUGCGUAGAUAUCAGAAGGUACGUCGGCGGCGAAAGCGACUCUCUGGCCUAUUACUGACACUGAGUGUGCGAAAGUUAGGGGAGCAAACGGGAUUAGAUACCCCGGUAGUCCUAACUGUAAACGAUGGGCACUAAGUAGAGGGGUUUU